AUUGAACGCUGGCGGCAGGCCUAACACAUGCAAGUCGAGCGGAUGAAGGGAGCUUGCUCCUGGAUUCAGCGGCGGACGGGUGAGUAAUGCCUAGGAAUCUGCCUGGUAGUGGGGGAUAACGUCCGGAAACGGGCGCUAAUACCGCAUACGUCCUGAGGGAGAAAGUGGGGGAUCUUCGGACCUCACGCUAUCAGAUGAGCCUAGGUCGGAUUAGCUAGUUGGUGGGGUAAAGGCCUACCAAGGCGACGAUCCGUAACUGGUCUGAGAGGAUGAUCAGUCACACUGGAACUGAGACACGGUCCAGACUCCUACGGGAGGCAGCAGUGGGAAUAUUGGACAAAGGGCGAAAGCCUGAUCCAGCCAUGCCGCGUGUGUGAAGAAGGUCUUCGGAUUGUAAAGCACUUUAAGUUGGGAGGAAGGGCAGUAAGUUAAUACCUUGCUGUUUUGACGUUACCAACAGAAUAAGCACCGGCUAACUUCGUG
Molecule: ribosomal RNA, 483 nt
Filed under: uncultured bacterium
Lineage: Bacteria
Description: partial 16S ribosomal RNA
Rfam family: Bacterial small subunit ribosomal RNA
Source: RNAcentral